AAUUCAGGGACUUGGAUACUAUUGGAAUGGGUAGUCACCAGAGUAGAGACGUGUCUAAUUCAGGUCACAACGUAGCGCGUGUAUUAGACUAGUAAUAAACACCAGAUGUAUUAAAAACAAAACAAAACCCACACACCACAUAGACAAAACAGAGUCAUCGGCUUAUAUCAGUAAAAAGGGAAUUAGGGUUUCGGUUCUAGCAGCUAAUAGAUUCAAGCAGGUGAGUUUAGGUUCAAUCUAUAUGAUUGGGGUUGUCUAUACUAUUGUGUGUUGAUUGUUAUGUGUAUAUUGGUAGGGCGAGUGUUAUGUUGGUUGGUUUGAAAUCGAGACCGAGGGUGCAGAGGCGAUCGGAGUGGGUGGAGUCGACGGCGAUGUCGCCGGAGGGAUAAGGGGAAGAGGUUGUCGGGACGGCGAGGCGGGCUGGAAAGGAGACACUAGUUGGUUUCAGGCGGAGACGCCGCUCGUUUAUGGAGUGCGGCGGAAAGAGGAUUACUACUGAUUGCUAGUACCACACUUGUUUAGUUAUUAAAUAACAUGCUUAGUCAAGAGCUGACAUUUGUGGACAAAAGCAGUGUAUUAACAGACAUGGAUAUUGAAUUGUUAAUUGUUGAGAUUCAAGAGUUGAUAGAGACUCCAGGUUCUAAAGCAAGUACCAGUUAGAGUACAGCAAAAAGUGCUAAUCUUUCAGCGAGACCUAAGUAUGUCGAGGAUGCGCCUUACUGCUCGCAAGAGGGUCCCACUUAAUCAUCCUCAAUUGUUUCGGUUCAAUCUUCCUGCUCACGUAGGAAGAAUCCAGAGUGUACAUAGACUUUUGGUAAUGUGCAAUAAAAUAUGAACUAGUCAUAAAAUUUAUCUAGACUUUUGGAGGAUUUGUGUAGUUUCCUGUAGAAGAUACUCUAAACAGGUGUGUAGUGUGUAAUCACAUAAUGAUUUUAUUUAGUGCUUGUUUCA
Molecule: long non-coding RNA, 951 nt
Organism: Daucus carota subsp. sativus
Lineage: Eukaryota; Viridiplantae; Streptophyta; Magnoliopsida; Apiales; Apiaceae
Exons: 3
Source: RefSeq, a predicted model, not a curated record